GACGAACGCUGGCGGCAUGCCUAACACAUGCAAGUCGAACGAGACCUUCGGGUCUAGUGGCGCACGGGUGCGUAACGCGUGGGAACCUGCCCGUAGGUUCGGAAUAACUCCCCGUAAGGGGUGCUAAUACCGGAUAAUCUCUUCGGACCAAAGAUUUAUCGCCUUUGGAUGGGCCCGCGUUGGAUUGGCUAGUUGGUAGGGUAAAAGCCUGCCAAGGCGACGAUCCAUAGCUGGUCUGAGAGGAUGAUCAGCUACACUGGGAAUGAGACACGGCCCAGACUCCUACGGGGGGGAGCAGUGGGGAAUAUUGGACGAGGAGCGAAAGCCUGAUCCAGCAAUGCCGCGGGAGUGAUGAAGGCCUUAGGGUUGUAAAGCUCUUUUACCCGAGAUGAUAAUGACAGUACCGGGAGAAUAAGCUCCGGCUAACUCCGUG
RNAcentral lists this ribosomal RNA (433 nucleotides) under uncultured bacterium. RNAcentral's name for it is "partial 16S ribosomal RNA". It matches the Rfam family "Bacterial small subunit ribosomal RNA", at positions 28 to 507 of the family's 1533-position model. The record is from RNAcentral.